UACGUAGGGAGCAAGCGUUGUCCGGAAUCAUUGGGCGUAAAGAGCGCGUAGGUGGAUCAAUUAGUCUGCUGUGAAAGUCAAAGGCUCAACCUUUGAAUGCCGGUGGAUACUGUUGAUCUAGAGUACGGAAGAGGCGAGUGGAAUUCCUGGUGUAGCGGUGGAAUGCGCAGAUAUCAGGAGGAACACCAAUAGCGAAGGCAGCUCGCUGGGACGUUACUGACACUGAGGCGCGAAAGCGUGGGGAGCAAACAGG
This 253-nucleotide ribosomal RNA is filed under the name uncultured prokaryote. Its description in RNAcentral is "partial 16S ribosomal RNA". It matches the Rfam family "Bacterial small subunit ribosomal RNA", at positions 524 to 776 of the family's 1533-position model. The record is from RNAcentral.